UAGGGAAUCUUCCACAAUGGACGCAAGUCUGAUGGAGCAACGCCGCGUGAGUGAAGAAGGUCUUCGGAUCGUAAAGCUCUGUUGUUGGUGAAGAAGGAUAGAGGCAGUAACUGGUCUUUAUUUGACGGUAAUCAACCAGAAAGUCACGGCUAACUACGUGCCAGCAGCCGCGGUAAUACGUAGGUGGCAAGCGUUGUCCGGAUUUAUUGGGCGUAAAGCGAGCGCAGGCGGAAUGAUAAGUCUGAUGUGAAAGCCCACGGCUCAACCGUGGAACUGCAUCGGAAACUGUCAUUCUUGAGUGCAGAAGAGGAGAGUGGAACUCCAUGUGUAGCGGUGGAAUGCGUAGAUAUAUGGAAGAACACCAGUGGCGAAGGCGGCUCUCUGGUCUGCAACUGACGCUGAGGCUCGAAAGCA
Molecule: ribosomal RNA, 414 nt
Filed under: uncultured bacterium
Lineage: Bacteria
Description: partial 16S ribosomal RNA
Rfam family: Bacterial small subunit ribosomal RNA
Source: RNAcentral